GCUGAUUGGGUCGGAAAAUCCACCUUAUUCCCAGGCUAACUCCCCGGAUAAUGCUGCUGAUCCUUCCAGGUGAUCGGAAAAUAAAGAAAUGGUUAAAAAAAAAAAAAAGAAAAAGUUUUCGUAGGCGAAUAUAAUUUCGCACGUGAAGGGUGAUUUCUUGGUUUCGUCUCUCUAGACUGAAGUCUCAUCCCAGAUCCGCAGCUUGUAAACUCCGUGCUGAGACCCUUCUUUCAUCAUCAAAAAAUAAGAGAUUUUAUCAAAAUUUAUAUAUUUUCAAACUUAAGCCAGAUUUUCGAUGAGUUUUUUAACAGAAUUGUGGCUUGAUGUCUUAGUGAGUUAAUCUUGAAGGGAUUUCAAAGAAAGUAGCCACCAGUUGAGCCUAUUAACUUUGUCCUUUACUGUAUUAUCCUAUUGACUUGAAAUUGAUUAGUGAGUCUUAAUAUGUGCUCAAAUUUGGCUCAGUUAUGAAUCAAUGUGAACCUGAAGUUUAAGCAACUUGAUUAAUUAUGCAAUCCAAUCUAGAGAAGCUCAACGUGACCAUUUUGAAAAUGUACGAGGCUAAAGUGAGAUUAGUUUCAAACCACAUAGAUUGAAUGAGCAUUACUCAAAUGAUAAAAUGAAAUUGGCAACAAACUAAUCGAUUCAUCUUUAUUCUUUUCUGAGCCAUCAGCAAUGGCAGCGAAGCUACUAAUUUCUCCUCUCUUCUCGUUGCACAGUUCCGACCCAAGACCAGCACCACAUUCACCCAUGGCUUGGACGUGGACGCUUGUCAACAAGAAACAGGAGCCUCAUACUUCGAGUGUCGUCCUCCCUUGACAAUGAGAUUUUAUCAUCCACUUCUUCAGCUGUCCUGCAUAAUCUGCACCACUACCCGCAGUCUCUUACCUAUUGGCAGAUACUGCAGGAAACUCAUUGGCCAGUUACUAUACUUCUCUUGGUCUCUUUAUUAUUUCCGUUCCUGGCCUUUGGUCCCUUAUCAAGUGCUCAGUUAAAUCUAAGUUACCAAACUGUUAUGUCCAUUUUUACUCUGGACUAUACCAAAAUGCGAUACAGGAAGCAUGUUUGGCUAAGUUUAAAAAGUUCUACUCAUAAGUUCUAAAGUAACUUUUUACAUCGAUCAAAGUGAGAUAUAAGUAAGCUAUUCAUUUUGACAUAAUGAUAGAUUUACUUACAAAAUAAGUUUGUUUUUACUAAAGUAAGACAAAAUCAAGUUAUCCCAUAUUCGGAAAUUCGACGUUACUUAAAAGUAACUUUUACGUAUUUUAAGCUUUUCAAACAUGCUUUUAUAGGUUGAGAGUGAUUUUAUUUUCUUCAUCUCUGAUACGUUUUUUUAUUUUGCUUUACUUGAAACUAUCCAAAUUGCCUUUUCAUUCUUAGAACAGAUUGUGCAAAAGACAUUCAUAGGAGAAGGGAAGGGGGAGAAGGCUCCUAACCAAGUGGAAGGAGAAAUUCUUUCAUUCUUUACUUGAAAUAAUUUUGUGGUGUUGGAUAGAGGAGAUUCGAUAACGUAAGCCACUAAUUCUAUCACAUGUUCCUUAAAAGUAGUGUUUGAUAACAAAAUCUCUUUAUGCAACAACCUUGCAUGCGGUAAAUUUCAGAAUUGUAACGUUUUCACAUCUGAAGAAUUUCAAUGUCAAUAUUUAGUUCAACUAGAUGAAAUAUGACCAAGGGUUAAUGAGAACUUGCAGCACCAUAAAUUCUCAUGCUCAUAUACUUCAAUUGAUAUUUUCCUUCUCAGCUUUUGUAAUUGGUAAAUAGCAUGCUUAUCAUCAUGGUUUAUGUUAAUUUAUAGCUUAGGAGAAGUUUUCAAGUUCUUCCAUGUAUAAGAACAUCCAAAAAGCCACUUUUCCCGGAUGCUCUUCUUUUAGAAAAGUGAUGGCUAAUUCUUCUAUUACUGUUGGUUAUGCUCAACCAGUACCAAUGGGUUGGUUGUCUUUCAUAAUCACUUAACUGAUUGCAGAUCCAAAUGGUAGUAUACACUUAUUCUCCAACUAUGGAUUGCCCUAAACCGUUUUCUCUUAGACAUACAAAAAUUGUAAGAUAGCCAUGGUAAAAUUUAGUUUUCUUCAUAGUGAAAAACCUGCCAUUAUAAAACUCUGUUUUCUUGCAUGUUUCUGAUAUUUCGUUGUGCUUAUUUUUAUAACAUGUUUCUAUUUACUUUACGUUUGAAGGUACUAUGGUUCCAAGCCGUGGCCAAGCAGCAUUGCUCACUUUUUGUGCCAGCACAAGUCUGGCAAGUGUUGCCCUUGUUUUGACAAUUACUCUUCCAGACAUAGGAAACAAUUGGUUCUGGUUGACUAUAUUAAGGUCCUGUUUGACCCACAUUCUUUCCAAAAAAUACAUUCUUAAGUAGUGGUUUGAUAUCAUUUUAACCACAUAUUCUUCAAUAAAAUAAUAUUAAACACAAAUUCUGAACUUUUCCUUAUUUUUAACUACAUAUUUUUCAUCAAUACACUAUUCAAAAAUGCAUUUUAUAGAAAUAAUGUGGCUCAAACAAGGGCUAAGUCAUCUAGCGUUAGUUAUUUCCUCUUGAAACCGAGACUACAUUGUCUAACAUGUAAAAUGGAUUUGGGGAGUGUAUUAUUGGAUGAAAGCAUCUAGAAAGGAGCGGAUCAAGGUCAAAAUGAUAGUAGGAGAUGAUGGAACCCUGUCGGAGAUAAUUGUACAAGGUGAUGACCAACAAGUGGAGCAAAUGAGAAAGGAGCUCCAGUUCAGUGAAAAAGGCAUGGUUUAUGUGAAGGGCAUUUUUGAAAGCUGAAAUUAGAUGUCAUCUCAUGUCUUAGGUUGUUCUUUGUUUUGAUUUCUCAUAAGAAAGUUUUGAUGUGUAAUUUGUGUAUAAAUAUGUAUGUCACUAAUGUUCUAUUUAGAACGAGCACAACAUGAAUUCUUAUACACAUUUCAUUGUUGUGGUUUUGAACUAGUUUUCAAUGUAUCAUGUUUUUUAAAUUUAGUUUUUUGUUUGGUAAAAAUUAAA
RNAcentral lists this long non-coding RNA (2974 nucleotides) under Olea europaea subsp. europaea. Lineage: Eukaryota; Viridiplantae; Streptophyta; Magnoliopsida; Lamiales; Oleaceae. The record is from RNAcentral.